This 467-nucleotide ribosomal RNA is filed under the name uncultured bacterium. RNAcentral's name for it is "partial 16S ribosomal RNA". It matches the Rfam family "Bacterial small subunit ribosomal RNA", at positions 28 to 506 of the family's 1533-position model. The record is from RNAcentral.
GACGAACGCUGGCGGCGUGCUUAACACAUGCAAGUCGAACGGAAAGGCCCUGCUUUUGUGGGGUGCUCGAGUGGCGAACGGGUGAGUAACACGUGAGUAACCUGCCCUUGACUUUGGGAUAACUUCAGGAAACUGGGGCUAAUACCGGAUAGGAGCUCCUGCUGCAUGGUGGGGGUUGGAAAGUUUCGGCGGUUGGGGAUGGACUCGCGGCUUAUCCGCUUGUUGGUGGGGUAGUGGCUUACCCAGGCUUUGACGGGUAGCCGGCCUGGGAGGGUGACCGGCCACAUUGGGACUGAGAUACGGCCCAGACUCCUACGGGAGGCAGCAGUGGGGAAUAUUGCACAAUGGGCGGAAGCCUGAUGCAGCAACGCCGCGUGCGGGAUGACGGCCUUCGGGUUGUAAACCGCUUUCGCCUGUGACGAAGCGUGAGUGACGGUAAUGGGUAAAGAAGCACCGGCUAACUACGU